UUUUCAACAUCUGGACCAUACCGGCAAACG
Molecule: non-coding RNA, 30 nt
Filed under: Cricetulus griseus (Chinese hamster)
Lineage: Eukaryota; Metazoa; Chordata; Mammalia; Rodentia; Cricetidae
Source: RNAcentral